UUGCCAGAGAACCUAAAAUUCGCAACAGGCACCUGUGAAGCAAAACUCGCAUUUUUCUCAGAUAUCUAUUGUCAGCAUCCAUGGAUAUCUCUUCUAUCGCCGCCAGGCUACGCCACUCCAAGUCAAAGGCUCUCAUCUUUAAGGCUAGGAGAUCCGCCGUCUAUCCGACGUUCAGUCUGAUUCCUCGAUCACGGGAGUGCUAAGCACCUCAUUUCGGCUUUUCCAUCUAACAGUUUGUGAGUUAUAAUUGGCACUUUACUUCAUAUCAACAGGGGAGGUCGUGAAAGCAAUUGUUUUCUUGGAAAUCAUUUCUUCUAGGUUGCAAAUGAUCUUUGAUCGUUCAGCGGCAAUUUGGUUGAACGGAAUGUCUGAAAAGGCUUAUAUUAGAUGUUUCAAUGCAAUGCAGAACAAGAUUGUAGCCAAGGCAAGGGUAGAUGUUUGGGAGCAUGUGAUCCAGUUCGGUUGCGUGAGGCUUAUUUCUUUCGUUUGUGCAGAAGGGAUUAUCUCUAAUUACAUAUUUACUAUAUGCCCACUACUUUCAGCUACAAAGAUAGAUUUUUAGCUGCAUUACCAGCCUCUCACAGAGCAAAAACUGACUUCAACCGUCCUGUCUUUAUAGCAGUUGCAGUUUAUCUGUGCUAAGAAACACAAGCUCCUACAAAGCAAUCCAGGCAGACUCAACUCAACUUCUUGGGAAAGCUCCAACAAGAAAUCCAAUCAAUACUCACUUUUUCAAUGCAUUUUACUGAAAUUUUGGCUCAUCUAUUCAAGGAGCAAAUGGCAUCAUAUGCCUUAUGUUAUAGAGCUUGAAAGUGGCGACACAUUUUGCCACAAUGGAUAUACUUAUUUUAAAGAUUGUUAAGGAAAUUUUUUGAAUUUGCAGACUACUUUUGUAGUCAUCGUCAAUUUCUUUAAGUGUAUAUAUCAGAACAACGUGUGAAUAUUA
RNA transcript from Phalaenopsis equestris, 946 nucleotides. RefSeq lists it as uncharacterized. Lineage: Eukaryota; Viridiplantae; Streptophyta; Magnoliopsida; Asparagales; Orchidaceae. The record is from RefSeq and is a predicted model, not a curated record. The transcript is spliced from 5 exons.